RNAcentral lists this long non-coding RNA (1048 nucleotides) under Manacus vitellinus (golden-collared manakin). Its description in RNAcentral is "lncRNA (ENSMVIG00005005512.1)". Lineage: Eukaryota; Metazoa; Chordata; Aves; Passeriformes; Pipridae. The record is from RNAcentral.
ACAUGGUCUGCACCCAGAGCACCACGUGGCCUCCCUGCAGGGCGUUAACAAAGCUCAGAUGGACACAGAAGACUUUCUUUGUGUGGCUAAAGAGAUGUAACAGUUCGGAGUCCACAUAAAAACAUGUAAUGAUUCCUUAUACACACAGAAGUCCUGAUGCUGCUGCUUCUGCUUGCCUUGGAGACCUUCAGCUGCAGAGGCUUUUUUUUGAAACCAGUGAACUUUGAAGUCUAUAAACCCAGAAGUGAACAUCUGUUUUUAUGCUGGGACCUCACUGAACGCUACAACUGGAUGCCACGUGGAGAACUGAAUAUGGAAACCUUUCAAAUACUAAGGAGGAGGACAGAAGAAUCCCAGGCAUCACCUCCACCAAGACCAAGAGAACCUGUGUUGCACAUGCAGCAUCCUCCUGCUGCUGCAUCCCAGAACUUCAGGGGGCUGCAACAUGUUGCAGUUUCCUCUGCAUUGAUGCAGGAGCUGAGCUAGCAAGGAUGAAGGGAUCCACCCAGGACUACACAGCAGCUGCUGACAGAACAGAGUUACGUCAUGUCCAACUGUAUGUUCAAACUGGCUCUUGUCCCUCCCACGCUGGAAGGAACAAUGAAUGGGAAUGCACAGCUGGACUGGGACAACUGAUCCAAACUCCACAAAGCCCCACUCGCACAAACUGCUGCAAGUGAACUCCCAGGAGGUGGGAGCAGAACACACCACUUCUGCAUUUGGCAGAAACAAGGAGGGACGGAGGGUUCGGCAGCACAAACCAGGGAGGGGAGAAAGAUCAGUGUAAAUGUAGCAGUUCCCCUGCCUGGGAAGUCCUGCCUGGGACUUGUGCAGGGUUUGAUACAGGGCUGGUGAUAACACAGAGCAUGUAAUUUUUAUUUGUUCAAAGCACAUGGAACGUUAUUUUCCUUCCUUAAAAACCCACUUCGAGCAUCUCAUCCUACCGAUUUUACUUGGUUUCCAAGAUCACAAAUUCAAAACCACGGCAAUCUCCAGAAAUACCUGUGAAUUUAAUAAAUUGAACCGCCGGCGUGUAUGAACUACCUUA